This 1294-nucleotide ribosomal RNA is filed under the name Micrococcus luteus. Its description in RNAcentral is "bacterial SSU rRNA". It matches the Rfam family "Bacterial small subunit ribosomal RNA", at positions 104 to 1409 of the family's 1533-position model. The record is from RNAcentral. Lineage: Bacteria; Bacillati; Actinomycetota; Actinomycetes; Micrococcales; Micrococcaceae.
GGGUGAGUAACACGUGAGUAACCUGCCCUUAACUCUGGGAUAAGCCUGGGAAACUGGGUCUAAUACCGGAUAGGAGCGUCCACCGCAUGGUGGGUGUUGGAAAGAUUUAUCGGUUUUGGAUGGACUCGCGGCCUAUCAGCUUGUUGGUGAGGUAAUGGCUCACCAAGGCGACGACGGGUAGCCGGCCUGAGAGGGUGACCGGCCACACUGGGACUGAGACACGGCCCAGACUCCUACGGGAGGCAGCAGUGGGGAAUAUUGCACAAUGGGCGCAAGCCUGAUGCAGCGACGCCGCGUGAGGGAUGACGGCCUUCGGGUUGUAAACCUCUUUCAGUAGGGAAGAAGCGAAAGUGACGGUACCUGCAGAAGAAGCACCGGCUAACUACGUGCCAGCAGCCGCGGUAAUACGUAGGGUGCGAGCGUUAUCCGGAAUUAUUGGGCGUAAAGAGCUCGUAGGCGGUUUGUCGCGUCUGUCGUGAAAGUCCGGGGCUUAACCCCGGAUCUGCGGUGGGUACGGGCAGACUAGAGUGCAGUAGGGGAGACUGGAAUUCCUGGUGUAGCGGUGGAAUGCGCAGAUAUCAGGAGGAACACCGAUGGCGAAGGCAGGUCUCUGGGCUGUAACUGACGCUGAGGAGCGAAAGCAUGGGGAGCGAACAGGAUUAGAUACCCUGGUAGUCCAUGCCGUAAACGUUGGGCACUAGGUGUGGGGACCAUUCCACGGUUUCCGCGCCGCAGCUAACGCAUUAAGUGCCCCGCCUGGGGAGUACGGCCGCAAGGCUAAAACUCAAAGGAAUUGACGGGGGCCCGCACAAGCGGCGGAGCAUGCGGAUUAAUUCGAUGCAACGCGAAGAACCUUACCAAGGCUUGACAUGUUCUCGAUCGCCGUAGAGAUACGGUUUCCCCUUUGGGGCGGGUUCACAGGUGGUGCAUGGUUGUCGUCAGCUCGUGUCGUGAGAUGUUGGGUUAAGUCCCGCAACGAGCGCAACCCUCGUUCCAUGUUGCCAGCACGUCGUGGUGGGGACUCAUGGGAGACUGCCGGGGUCAACUCGGAGGAAGGUGAGGACGACGUCAAAUCAUCAUGCCCCUUAUGUCUUGGGCUUCACGCAUGCUACAAUGGCCGGUACAAUGGGUUGCGAUACUGUGAGGUGGAGCUAAUCCCAAAAAGCCGGUCUCAGUUCGGAUUGGGGUCUGCAACUCGACCCCAUGAAGUCGGAGUCGCUAGUAAUCGCAGAUCAGCAACGCUGCGGUGAAUACGUUCCCGGGCCUUGUACACACCGCCCGUCAAGUCACGAAA